This 23-nucleotide non-coding RNA is filed under the name Cricetulus griseus (Chinese hamster). Lineage: Eukaryota; Metazoa; Chordata; Mammalia; Rodentia; Cricetidae. The record is from RNAcentral.
UAUUAGAGGCAAUGCCUGCCCAG